Molecule: ribosomal RNA, 371 nt
Filed under: uncultured euryarchaeote
Lineage: Archaea; Methanobacteriati; Methanobacteriota
Description: bacterial SSU rRNA
Rfam family: Archaeal small subunit ribosomal RNA
Source: RNAcentral
ACAUCCGUAGCUUGUUUCAUAAGUCUCUUGUGAAAUCCGGCAUCUUAAGUGUCGGGCGUGCAAGAGAUACUGUGGGGCUCGAGACUGGAGGGUGUGAGAAGUACAUUCAAGGUAGUGGUAAAAUACGUUGAUCUUGGGUGGACUAACAAUCGCGAAGGCAUCUCACAAUUACAGACCUGACAGUGAGGGAUGAAGGCUAGGGGCGCAAAAGGGAUUAGAUACCCCUGUAGUCCUAGCAGUAAACACUGCACACUAAACAUCGGGAUCUCCUCGGGAGAUUUCGGUGCUGUAGGGAAGCCGAAGAGUGUGCUACCUGGGAAGUAUAGUCGCAAGGCCGAAACUUAAAGGAAUUGGCGGGGGAGCACAAGCCG